UACGUAGGGUGCGAGCGUUAAUCGGAAUCACUGGGCGUAAAGCGCACGUAGGCGGAUCUUUAAGUCAGGGGUGAAAUCCCGAGGCUCAACCUCGGAACUGCCUUUGAUACUGGGGAUCUCGAGUCCGGGAGAGGUGAGUGGAACUGCGAGUGUAGAGGUGAAAUUCGUAGAUAUUCGCAAGAACACCAGUGGCGAAGGCGCUCACUGGCCCGGAACUGACGCUGAGGUGCGAAAGCGUGGGGAGCAAACAGG
This 252-nucleotide ribosomal RNA is filed under the name uncultured bacterium. Its description in RNAcentral is "partial 16S ribosomal RNA". It matches the Rfam family "Bacterial small subunit ribosomal RNA", at positions 524 to 776 of the family's 1533-position model. The record is from RNAcentral.